CAAUAUUUUAACAAACUUAGGCAUGAGCUCAAUAUUCUUGAUUCUAGGAACUUCUUUUGUUAAAAUUGCACACAUUGCUCUUUUAUAUAUCUUUGAUCAUGUCUCUUUUAUAUGCUAUGACUAAUGUGUUGUCAAGUCUAUUUCAAACCAAGUCAUAGGUAUAUUGAAAGGGAAUUGGAGUCUUCGGCGAAGACAAAGGCUUCCACUCCGUCACUCAUACUUCGCCAUCACUCCAAGCAACUCUCUAUUCCUUGGGGAGAAAUGAGCAUCCGGGAAAAGGACCUCGCCUUUGGGGGAGAAAGGAGCCCAAAGCAAAAGGACCGCACCACCACCAAAUUCAAAAACUUAAUGCUUUCCAAAAGUAUUUUUCAAUUGGUAUCCUAUUGUGUUCAAAAGGAAAAGAAAAUUAGUUUUUCAAAAAUGUAUAUCAAAACCCUCUUGAACACUAAGAGGAGGAUCUCCUUUAGGGGGAGUUUUGUUUAGUCAAAAGAAAAGCAUUUGAAACAGGGGGAGAAAAUUUCAAAUCUUGAAAAUGCUUUGCAAAAAUCUUAUUCAUUUACCUUUGACUAUUUGCAAAAGAUCUUCGAAAUGAAUUUACAAAAAGAAUUUGCAAAAAUAAAACAUGUGGUGCAAGCGUGGUCCAAAAUGCUAAAUAAAGAAAGAAACAUUCCAUGCAUAUCUUGUAAGUAUUUAUAUUGGCUCAAUUCCAAGCAACCUUUUCACUUACAUUAUGCAAACUAGUUUAAUUAUGCAUCUCUAUAUUUGCUUUGGUUUGUGUUGGCAUCAAUCACCAAAAAGGGGGAGAUUGAAAGGGAAUUAGGGUUACACCUAGUUCCUAUAUAAUUUUGGUGGUUGAAUUGCCCAACACAAAUAAUUGGACUAACUAGUUUGCCCAAGUGUGUAGAUUAUACAGGUGUAAAAGGUUCACCCUCAGCCAAUAAAAGGACCAAGUUUUGGAUUCAAUAAAGGAGCAAAGGGGCAACCGAAGGCACCCCUGGUCUGGCGCACCGGACUGUCCGGUGUGCCACCGGACAGUAAACAGUACCUGUCCGGUGCACCAGGGGACUCAGACUCAAACUCGCCACCUUCGGGAAUUUCCAGGGCGACUCGGCUAUAAUUCACCGGACUGUCCGGUGUACACCGGACAGUGUCCGGUGCGCCAAGGGAGGUCAGCCUCAGGAACUCGCCAGCUUCGGGAAAAGCCAACGGCUCGUCCGCUAUAAUUCACCGGACUGUCCGGUGUGCACCGGACUGUCCGGUGCGACUCCGGAGCAACGGUCAUCUCCGCGCCAACGGCUCUCUGCCACGCAUUUAAUGCGCGCUCUGCGCGCGCAGAAGUCAGAAUCGCCCAUGCUGGCACACCAGACAGCAAACAGUACCUGUCCGGUGUGCACCGGACAUCCGGGCGGGCCCACAAGUCAGAAGCUCCAACGGUCAGAAUCCAACGGCAAUGAUGACGUGGCAGGGGGCACCGGACUGUCCGGUGUGCACCGGACUGUCCGGUGCGCCAUCGAACAGACAGGAUUCCCAACGGCCACAUUUAGUGGUUGGGGCUAUAAAUACCCCAACCACCCCACCAUUCAUUGUAUCCAAGUUUUCCACUUCUCAACUACUACAAGAGCUCUAGCAUUCAAUUCUAGACACACUAAAGAGAUCAAAUCCUCUCCAAUUCCACACAAAGCCCUAGUGACUAGUGAGAGUGAUUUGCCGUGUUCAUUUGAGCUCUUGCGCUUGGAUUGCUUCUUUUCUUUCUCACUUGUUCUUGAGAUCACAACUCCAUUGUAAUCAAGGCAAGAGGCACCAAUUGUGUGGUGGCCCUUGCGGGAAAGUUUUGUUCCCGGCUUUGAUUUGAGAAGAGAAGCUCACUCGGUCCGAGGGACCGUUUGAGAGAGGGAAGGGUUGAAAGAGACCCGGCCUUUGUGGCCUCCUCAACGGGGAGUAGGUUUGCAAGAACCGAACCUCGGUAAAACAAAUCUCCGUGUCUCACUUGCUUAUUCGCUUGGGAUUUGUUUUGCGCCCUCUCUAGCGGACUCGUUUCUUUAUUACUAACGCUAACCCGGCUUGUAGUUGUGUUUAUAUUUGUAAAUUUCAGUUUCGCCCUAUUCACCCCCCCUCUAGGCGACUAUCAACCGCGAAGUAGUGUUUGAAGAUGAGGAAUGCCCUAUUACUCAAGCAGACUUACAAAGGUGGUUUGUUGAUGAUUGGGAUAAAAGAACUCCUGUCAAAGUCUCGACUGAUGGGUGCACCAAUGACUUUUUAAUGGGUGGUCUUUCCACAAAGGAUAUACCAGUGACCAAAGCCGAUCUAAUAGAUGUUCUAUGUGAUUAUAUCAUGGCAAUCCAAGACGAUACGACACUAGAGAUGACAUGGGUGCGAAGUUUCAACCCUUUUAAGAUAGAAAUAUCUGUCAAAGACCUGCAAAACAUAUUAAUGAUAAAUCAAGAUAUGACUCUAAGAUGUUUUGGCAUGGUCAUUCGGCUGCUUGCCAAUAAAGAGUCAUGUAGACCGAAAGGAGAAAUCAUAAAGAAUAUAAAACAUUAUAUGGACAUACGUUUCUGGAGAACGGUUGGUUUUGGUAAACUUCCAAAGUACCAUCAGGACCCUACAACAGAAGACUUAGCCAAAACACUCGAUUGUUGGUCAUCAAUGAAUUAUUAUAUCAUGAGAUGUAGAUAUGUUCUUUUGCCAUGGAAAUUUAACGGAUGUUACACCCUUUUCAUAAUAGAUCAUGUUAAAAAGCAUGUGACUUUUAUCAACUUUACACCGACUCAAGAUUGGUAUAAGCACAUGCCAACAAGAGGUUCGCAGAAACGAUUAUCAUGGCCUCAAAGAAAUAUAAGAUUGCCUACAACAAGAAACGUUCUGGAUGGGCAGGGGAUAUUUUUAAGUGGGAACAUACAAUUCGGACUGGUAUUCCAAUUGACUUAAGAGGGUUAAUACCAGCUAACUCGUUCUACAAGCUAUGACCAUGUGGGGGAAUGACAUACGAAUGGAAUUUAUUAGGGAUGCAAAGAUUCUUCGAAGGAACUUUCUGAUUGAUCUGUUAAGUUAUGAGGAAAUUUUGUGCCGAUAUGUCAUCCCUGCAACAUACAAUAGCGACUUAUCGAUAUCGCUAAAAAGGAUUAGAUUAAUAUCUAUUCAGUAUUUAAUCAUGAAGUCUGUUGAUCGCCCGCCCAGUAAUCCAAAAAGAUUAACCAUUGAAUCCAGUCAGGAGGUUUUUUCAAUUGAUAUUUCCAGACGUACAAGAUCCAGCAGCUUAGCUCACCAAGAUGAUAUUCCCCAAAAUCAGGAGCAGAAUGAGCCACAGCCAGCCCCUAUCCAUCGUUUUCGCAGAAAGGCGUUAGCUUGUCGUUUAAAAAGAAAACCUCCUGUUCCAUCCACACUGUCCGACGACGAUUUCAUGGAUGCUCCAUCGUUGAAGCGCCAAUUCAGAUCUGCCUCACCUUCUCCUUCAGAACAAAUCAGUGCAAAGAAGUUAAAAGUACCUUCUCCUCAAGUUCCUUGCGUGAAAAGAAGUCCAAAGUCUAAUAUCAUUACAAAAAAAAACUCUCCUAAACAGAAGACUCCUAGAAAAUCACAGAAACUGAAUAUCCGCUGCAUUCCCUAUGAUGUUAUUGUAUCAUCUUGGAUAAUGAGCGAUCGGCAGCGCGAUGCUGUCGCUAGGUUGGGAUUUUCAAGCAUAUUUGAUUUGCGAACUGAUGCCUUAGAGAGCAGAUCACUCAUCAGGUGGUUGAUGGAUAAAUUGGAUCCACAUGACAUGACCAUACGCCCAGGGGAUGGCAAGGAACUAAAGAUAACAAAAGAUACGGUUCAUCUGAUUUUGGGUUUGCCAUGUGCUGGAGGAGGCAGGGAGU
This 3854-nucleotide unclassified non-coding RNA is filed under the name Zea mays. Its description in RNAcentral is "misc RNA Zm00001eb186040". Lineage: Eukaryota; Viridiplantae; Streptophyta; Magnoliopsida; Poales; Poaceae. The record is from RNAcentral.